This 1030-nucleotide ribosomal RNA is filed under the name human oral metagenome. RNAcentral describes it as "bacterial LSU rRNA". It matches the Rfam family "Bacterial large subunit ribosomal RNA", at positions 1651 to 2664 of the family's 2925-position model. The record is from RNAcentral.
AAACCGACACAGGUGGUCAGGUAGAGAAUACUCAGGCGCUUGAGAGAACUCGGGUGAAGGAACUAGGCAAAAUAGCACCGUAACUUCGGGAGAAGGUGCGCCGGCGUAGAUUGUAGUCCCUAGCGGAUGAAGGUUGAACCGGUCGAAGAUACCAGCUGGCUGCAACUGUUUAUUAAAAACACAGCACUCUGCAAACACGAAAGUGGACGUAUAGGGUGUGAUGCCUGCCCGGUGCUGGAAGGUUAAUUGAUGGUGUAAUCGAAAGAGAAGCUCCUGAUCGAAGCCCCAGUAAACGGCGGCCGUAACUAUAACGGUCCUAAGGUAGCGAAAUUCCUUGUCGGGUAAGUUCCGACCUGCACGAAUGGCAUAAUGAUGGCCAGGCUGUCUCCACCCGAGACUCAGUGAAAUUGAAAUCGCCGUGAAGAUGCGGUGUACCCGCGGCUAGACGGAAAGACCCCGUGAACCUUUACUAUAGCUUGACACUGAACAUUGAAUUUUGAUGUGUAGGAUAGGUGGGAGCCUUUGAAGCAGUCACGCCAGUGAUUGUGGAGGCGUCCUUGAAAUACCACCCUUUAACGUUUGAUGUUCUAACGAAGAUUACGAAACGUGGUCUCGGACAGUGUCUGGUGGGUAGUUUGACUGGGGCGGUCUCCUCCCAAAGAGUAACGGAGGAGCACGAAGGUUUGCUAAUGACGGUCGGACAUCGUCAGGUUAGUGCAAUGGUAUAAGCAAGCUUAACUGCGAGACAGACAAGUCGAGCAGGUACGAAAGUAGGUCAUAGUGAUCCGGUGGUUCUGAAUGGAAGGGCCAUCGCUCAACGGAUAAAAGGUACUCCGGGGAUAACAGGCUGAUACCGCCCAAGAGUUCAUAUCGACGGCGGUGUUUGGCACCUCGAUGUCGGCUCAUCACAUCCUGGGGCUGAAGUAGGUCCCAAGGGUAUGGCUGUUCGCCAUUUAAAGUGGUACGCGAGCUGGGUUUAGAACGUCGUGAGACAGUUCGGUCCCUAUCUGCCGUGGGCGUUGGAGAAUUG